Oncorhynchus keta (chum salmon) is the source of this 925-nucleotide long non-coding RNA. RefSeq lists it as uncharacterized. The record is from RefSeq and is a predicted model, not a curated record. The transcript is spliced from 5 exons. Lineage: Eukaryota; Metazoa; Chordata; Actinopteri; Salmoniformes; Salmonidae.
AAGACAAGCGCACUAAUUCAAAGUCCCCGGAUGAAGAAACGGAAGUUUCGUCAGUUGGACAGGAUGUUUGGGUUUCAAAGUUCAUCCUGUGUCUGCCUCUAAAAAAACAUAAAUUUGUCAACACGUCAACAAGUGCAUGACAAUGUCAAGGGGCAGAGGGAAUAAAAUUACAUGACUGCACUUAAAUUGCGAAUGGAGGAUGUUUUCCCAUGUUUCAUAUUGAUGCCAGCCAGGUGAUAUUAGCUAUGCAUCUGGCUCUUCAAAUUGCCCAAAAAGCUUGAGAUGUCAAGCGCAAUAUGUGACCUACAAGGGAACUGUGUCUGACUACCCUUGUCAGCUGUAGUUUGACUCCUCCCACUGCUUCAAGAAAAACGCUGCAGGUCGACAGGGUUAUCUGUUAUCUUCCAGUGCUCUCUCUUCUCUCCAGACUUCUGCAUCCAGAAGGUCGGUACCACAUUACAAAGUAUGGCCACCUCAGCCCUUUUUUGCUGGGCUGCUCGGUGAAUCAAUGCUCCAAGACAGGCAAAGCCCCAGUAGCCUGUGGAGAGACCUAACUUAACGACACCUGGAUGACACCAUAUCCAUGAUGGAACUUCCUCAGAGGGCCAGGGUGUAUGGCCCAAUAAUCUUGCCUUCCUGCUGAAGUGCGCAUUCAUUCACUCCUUCCCACAAAUCGAAAAGCAUUGGAUUGUUGUUUGCCUGGGAUAUUGGGAGUUUCCAUAUUUAUAGUGAUAAUUCCCAAGAAGCCGUUGUUUGUUGGAUAUGUUGGCACGGUGUUGUUAGGCCCGAGACCAAAUCGAGGACUGGCAAACCAUGCCAAUAUAUCCAACAAACACCAGCUUCGAGGGCAUUAUCACUUGUACAUGGGUUACCAACAUAUUCAAAUAAUGAUCGACAUUUUCAUUAAAAACUUUAUUUUUAUACA